Molecule: ribosomal RNA, 482 nt
Filed under: uncultured bacterium
Lineage: Bacteria
Description: partial 16S ribosomal RNA
Rfam family: Bacterial small subunit ribosomal RNA
Source: RNAcentral
AUUGAACGCUGGCGGCAUGCUUUACACAUGCAAGUCGAACGGUAACAGGCCGCCAGGUGCUGACGAGUGGCGAACGGGUGAGUAAUGCAUCGGAACGUGCCCAGUCGUGGGGGAUAACUACUCGAAAGAGUAGCUAAUACCGCAUACGAUCUAUGGAUGAAAGCGGGGGACCGUAAGGCCUCGAGCGAUUGGAGCGGCCGAUGUCAGAUUAGGUAGUUGGUGGGGUAAAGGCGCACCAAGCCAACGAUCUGUAGCUGGUCUGAGAGGACGACCAGCCACACUGGGACUGAGACACGGCCCAGACUCCUACGGGAGGCAGCAGUGGGGAAUUUUGGACAAUGGGCGCAAGCCUGAUCCAGCAAUGCCGCGUGCAGGAAGAAGGCCUUCGGGUUGUAAACUGCUUUUGUACGGAACGAAACGGCUCUGGUUAAUACCCGGGGCUAAUGACGGUACCGUAAGAAUAAGCACCGGCUAACUACGUG